RNAcentral lists this long non-coding RNA (39665 nucleotides) under Vitis vinifera (wine grape). RNAcentral's name for it is "long non-coding RNA (VVIN_LNC006009)". Lineage: Eukaryota; Viridiplantae; Streptophyta; Magnoliopsida; Vitales; Vitaceae. The record is from RNAcentral.
GAGAGGUAGCCGUCCUCCUCCGGCCUCUCCUCCGGGCACAUAAGCUUCUCAACUAUCUGGCUCAUCGUGGGUCUUGAGUCCCUGUCUUCCUCCACACAUUCCAAGGCAACUCCAAUCAGAAUUUCCAUCCGGCGCAGGUCGCAUUCGCCUUGCAUCACAGGGUCCAGGAUGUCUUCAAUCCACGACCCCCUGGCACCAAUCCCAUUCAUUCGAUCCCUCACCCAUUUAAUCAACCCACGCUGCUCUGUCUCUCCUUGGGCAUCAGUAUCGGGGAUAGCAGUUGGGCUCUUCCCUGUCACCAUCUCCAAAACCACGAUUCCAUAGCUAUAAACGUCUACCUUGGAGGUUAUGGGAAGGUUGAAUACCCAUUCAGGAGCCAUGUAUCCUCUGGUUCCUCUGAUCCUCGAGAAACUUGAAUUGUCAAGCCCUCCUCUGUUUCGCAGUUUCGACAUCCCAAAAUCGGCCACUUUUGGCUGGUAAUUAGAGUCCAAGAGUAUGUUCUGAGGCUUGACAUCACAGUGCAGAACCCACUCCAAGCAUUCUUCGUGUAAAUAAGCUAGGCCUCUGGCCGUGCCAAGCGCUAUUUGGAACCUCUUCUCCCAAUCAAGAGUAUUGGAAGAUAGCUUUUGUGCCAAGGAUCCAUGUUCCAUGUACUCAUACACCAACAGCCGGUGCUUCCCCUCUAUGCAAUAUCCCCACGUCUCUAUUAAGUUCAUGUGAUUAAGCCUUCCAAUGGUGCUCACUUCUGCUAGAAAUUCUGCUUCUCCUUGAUUGGCUUCUUUGAGGCGCUUGAUUGCUGCCACUCGACGAUCAAGCAAUACACCUUUAUAUACCACUCCUCCACCUCCUCUUCCAAUCUCUUGGGUGAAACCUCGCGUGGCCUUCUUCAACUCUGCAUAGCUGAAUCUUUUAAACCCGUUUGCAACGAGGAUGUAGCCUUGCAUGGUCGAGACUGGAUCAUGGUGUACCCAAAAUAAGAAAAGCCAUACCAGCAAGACAAUUGCCCCCUCUAGAACUCCCAGUACGUAGGCAAACCACAGCAAAAACUUCAAUGACCCAUUUUCGUGGCCCUUGCGAUAUGUUGUAUCUAGCUGUAUAUAACGAGUGUUGCCUGAACAAUUUAUGGUGAAUUCUUCAAGAGGAUCAUAUCUGGGAAAGAGACUAGCUUUAGGCAGUUUUAGAUACAUGGUUCCAGGAUAAUUUGGCGAACUGAAUCCAUUAAGCAAGAGGGUCUUUGGGUAACAACCGUAAAGGCCGUCGCUAAAAUUUAGCAGGAAGGCCUUGCAUUUGCACAACUGUAAGCAUAGAUUUUCACAGCUUUCAUAGGUGUAAUUGGGGUAGUGACCAUAGUCAUAGCCGUAGAGUUGAACAUGAGGGAGUGGGAAGAAGCCCACCUCAGUUUGGUUACAAGCGAUAUCAGUUUCUGGUGCGCACCCAUAAGACCAGUCAGUUGAAUUUACAAUCUUGAAUCCAGGCAUGCAAGAGCAUCCUCUGCCAUAAGCAGGGGUGUAACUGCAGAGACUGUUGGGUCCGCAGAUGCCAUGAAUCUGGCAUGGUUGGGAGAUAGCCUGCCAUGAAACCGACCAGGUUCCUCUCGUUUCUUCUAGACUAUACAUUCUAAGAUUGCCAUCGAAAUCGAGGGCCAAUCUUCUCUGAGGCCCCGCACCAAAAUCCGCUGACCGAAAUUCCAAAUCAUCUGAUGCUCUAUAAUAACCCAAAGAAUCGAAUACUGCGAUUCGACUGUUGUUGUAUGUGCUUCUUCCAGCAUCCCAGGUCACCAGGCUUGGGUCUGGCCAGUAGAUGCUGGAAACCUCAGUACCAUUGAAGAGAAGGCGGAUGACGUUAUCACUGUCAAAAAAUAGCUUAUAAAAACCAGAAGAAUAGUUGCUUUGGCUUCUUGAGGAGAUAAGGCUGGUAUCUUUGGUCAGUAUCUGGUGAGGAAGAAGAGUAUCUGUGGGUGAGUCAAAGCUCUGCCAAAUCACCGUCUUCUCCCAAGCAUAUAGAACAAGAUUGCCGGUGUUAAGGAGCUGUAAUCUCGCAGAUGAGGUUGAAACGGUGUUGAUCAUCCAAACCAUGAUUUUACCAGCAUCAGUUAAGAGGAGAUUGCCAUUCCUCAACAAAGAAAGCUUGGAGCCUCUACCGUUGACCGGUUGGUCACGGUUCGCCAUCCAAACUGUGGUUGCACCCCAUGAUUUUGUAAACCAUAUGGCGAAGCAGAAAGUGUUGUUGCCGACCUGAUAAAACCCAGCAGAGAAUAUACCAUUUGCUGAAAUGAGAAGAUCAUUUGAUUUCUCCACGGAAAGAGACGAGCCUUCGCUCAGAGUAUCAUACGUUUCAGAUGAAGAUGGAUAGCAAGUUAAUAGCAAAGCCAAAACAAAGAAACCAACUGUCCUAUCCAUGAGUUUUGGGAUAUGGUUUAUGUGCUCUGUUUCCUGAUCAGAUAUUUGCAAUGGAGAAUGCAAGUGUACGGUGCUACCAGAGUUUAGAAAAUAAAUUGACUCCUUGACUGGGGUGAAGGGGGGAAAUUCACAUUGCCCCUCGGGCCAAGUUUUGCUUGUGCCAUCGUGUUGGGUUUCUAAAAGCAUUUCAUGUCAACGUCAAAAUAAUGGGAUGAAGACCCGCUAUUUUUAAUGGGAUCUAUUUUGAUUGGAUGACUUGGGCCAUUCAAAUUUUGUAGUUUCCACUUGGAACAACAAAAUUAUUAUGAGAUACGUCAUUUUGAAGAAAGAUUCUAGAAAUAAGAUGUUAAAUUGAUCUCUUUUCCAUGUAGCUGAACUCGUCAACUGUGAGUCUGAGCCAUAUGAUUUCUGUGCCAUACAGAAGCUUAUUGUUCCAAGUUGCCUGUUCAAAGGUUGACCUGUGAACAGUUUGGAUCCAAAUACAAUGAAUGUGAUGAAAUUUACUGAAACCGGGACUCUCUGACUGGCCUGUGGCCUUUAUGAGUUUUAUUUUAGAGGUGACGUCUGAUGUUGAUUGGCCCAAGCAGGGAAAGAUCAAAUGGGAAACGACGGUCACAACUUGUGGGGUGACUUACCAUUCACCAAGUAACACUUCAAAGAAAUUAAUCGAGCCAAUGGAUUUCACAAGUUCCCUCUUUGCAGAAUUUUGAAUAUUUAAAAAGAAUCUUAACUUUUAAAACCUAAAUUUAUAGUUAAUUUUUAGGUGUAAUUGUGUUUUGGAUGUAGUUGGACCAAAAAAAUUAAGUUUUGAUUCAUAUAAGUUUAUCAUUUAAGUCCAAUACUUAAAGAAAGUAUGAAAAUUAAAAAAAAUGAUAUGAAUUUUUUAUCUUUCUAAAAAUGAUAUUUAUUGACUAUGAAAAAAAUAAGUAGAAAAACAUUAAUUUAAAUUUUAUUCUUUUUAUAAACUUCAAUAAAAUUUAAUUUCAUUUAAUGAUUUGAAAAAAAAAACACCAUUUUAAAAAAAAUAAUAAUAAAUUAUUAUUAUUAUUAUUAUUAUUUAAAAAUCAAACAUAUUGAAAAAAAUAUAUUUUUAAAAUUAUAUAUGUAAAAAAUAACUAAAAACAUGUCAAAAUUUUUUUAAAAAUGAUAUAUUUUUAGAAUAUUUUUUUUUAAAAAAAAUAGUUUUCUUAAAAUAAUAAAUUUUCAGAAUAAUUAUUAAAAAAAAUUAAGAUAAAAAAGUUUGUCAAACAUUAUAAUAGAAAACACUCAAAAUAGUUUUGAAGGGUAUAUGAGUGUUUUCAUAUUUUAUAUCCUUCCCCUUGAUUAUGCCCAGAUAGAUCCAAAACAUUAUUAUCCCUAAUUUUUAAACGCUUAAUUAUUGCGAUUUGAGGGUAAAACAUUUUCUUUUAUUCAAUCAAGAUUGAAUUUAAAAUAAUAGCGUUGGUAUUACUCCCUCUCUUUUAUCCUUUUCUUAUUCUAUCUAAUAGUUGUUUUCUCGCCGCCUUUGUGGGCCAAGAUGAACUAAUGCUAAGAAUUUUAUUCAUCUGCUUUCUUUCAAGACUCACUUAUUGAAUAUAAUAUCUCAAUAAAUAUGGAACCUGAUUUUGAUUAUAUUGGUACAAUUAUUGAUACAACUGUUGGCUCCGCUCAUUUUGAUUAUAUUGGUACAAUUUUAUUCAUCCUAACCUCUAUGUCAACAGGACCACUAAACUUAAGAAAAAACACUAAAUUUUGAAUUUUUAACUUCUAAAAAAAAACACCCGACCCGACUACCUAAUCUAAAUGUUUUCCUUUCUCAUUUGAAAGUUUUCUCUCAUCUUUUUUCACUCAUGACAACCCAAAAUUUCUCUUAUUUCAAUUUAGAAACCCAAAACUGAAACUCCAAAGCGGUGUCAAAAUGCCUCUUUCGACAUGCCUCUGGCUGAGACGCCUCAGCUAGGCGCUUGCCUUGAGCCCUAACUACAGUUAACUCUCGUCUAGGAGCUAUGGGAGUCUAAGACAAUUCGGUAAAAACGAAAUAGAGCUCAGAUGGAGAGAGUAGAUGCCCAAAAACUAAAACCCUAACCUCCAAAUGCGUCCUAAACUCGCAAAUUCGUAUUCAAUAUAGCUUUAUCAGACAUAAAUAGCACCAAACAUCUCUCUUAGACCACCGAAUCGACAAAGCCCUUGAAGAACCAAAGGAAACGGUGCAAAAAAUGAAGCGCAGGAGACUUUUAAAGUAUUGGGUGUUGACGAACUUGUUGAUCGAACCUUGAUCGGUCACCUUUGGUAUUUUGGUGACUGCACCUUAGAUACUACCUUAACUAACCUUUGGUACUACCUUAGUUAAACUUGAAUACUACUUGUGUGAAACCUCAGAACUUCAUUUGUGGAUAUGACUCACUUCAUUUGUGACCUUUAGAGCAUGUCAUUUUGUAAUUAAUUAGUGUGGUCAAUUGGUUCACCUUUUGUAUUUUAGUGACUGUACCUUAGACAUUACCUUAAUAGCCCUAAGAUAUAACCUUAAUUUACCUUAAAUACUACCUUAAUUGACCUUAGGUACUACUUUAGUUAAGCUCAUUCAACUUUCUAAGAGCAAGUUGGUGUCCUUUUCAGUUUUAGACAUAAAAUAGGUCAACCGGUUAUCCUUUCUCGAUCAAGGUUUGGUUGAGAAUGAAGUAAGUAAUAUCCACAAAUGAAAUUCCGAGGCUUCAGAUAGGUAGUACCCAAGUUUUACUAAGGUAGUACAUAAGGUUGGUUAAGAUAGUAUCUAAAAAAAAUAUAUGCCAUGAUAAAAGAAAUCCACCAUGAUAAUCCGUUGGGAGAAAAAUCGAUAGAAAAUCGGUAAUUUCACUGAAAAAUCAACGAAAUCUCGGUGAUAAGUUGGGAUGUAUGGCAACUUUGGGCAAUCAGUGGUAUAAAAAAAAUUGUGGUGAAAUAUUAGCAACCCAUUUUUUUGGUGGCAGUUUUUUUUUUUUUUUUAAUUUUAUAAUUUAUCCUGUUUUUAAAAUUUUUAAUUAUUCAUUUUUAAUUUAUCAUUUCAUUUUUAACUAUUUUUUAUAUUUAUCACAUUAAUUUUAUUUAAAAAAAUUACUAUCACUUCACUCUUAAUUUUUCUUAUAUUUAUCCUUUUAAUUUUAUUUAAUUUUAAAUGUUUUUGUUUUAAAAUAUUAAAAAUAUAAUUUUACUAAAAAAUUGUUACAAUAAAAAAAAUUAAUGAAGUUCUAAUAUUUUAUAAAUUAAAAUUAAUUUAAUAAAACAAAUUAUUAAUAAUUUUAAUUAUUAAAAUAAAUUAAUUUUAAUAGAAAAAGUUGUCAAUAUUUGUAAUAAAAUUUUAGAAAUUAAAUCUUAAAUAAAAUAUGUUAUAUAAAUCAAUUUAAUUUUUUAUUUACAAUGUAAUAAAACAUGGUUUAAUAAAAAUAUUUUUAAAAUGUUAAAAUAAAUUAAUAUAAAUAUAUUAAAGGAAAUUAAGCUAUUUUUUUAUGAAAAUUUGAUAAAUAUUAUCUUUAAUCAUGUUUGGUAGUUACAAAAUAAUUUUAAUAUAUAUAUUUUUUUAUUUCAUCAUAUUUUUGAAAGCUUUUUAUAUGAAUUUUGAACUACUUGUGUUUGAUAUGAUAUUUUUGUCAAAAUAUUCAUCGAUAUUUAUUCGAUAUUUUCGAUAUAUCCAUAAAAUUUAAAUACCAUGUAUCCAUAUUUAACGAUAUAUUUCUAACAUUUGAGUUGAUGGGAAAUGUGAAUGAGAUUAAGAAAAAUAGAGAAUGUUGAGUUUUAAUUGGUUAUAAGAAAUGAAAUAAUUCUCAAAUCCAAAAUUUAACGAUUCCCAUAUUUUUUUUGUGGAAAAAUAACUUUUUUUUUUAUAUAUAUAUAAAUGUUAUUUUUUAUUUCAAAUAUAAUGUGAAUGAGAUUAAGAAAAAUAGAGAAUGUUGAGUUUUAAUUGGUUAUAAGAAAUGAAAUAAUUCUCAAAUCCAAAAUUUAACCAUUUCCAUAUUUUUUUGUGGAAAAAUAACUUUUUUAUAUAUAUAUAUAUAUAAAUGUUAUUUUUUAUUUCAAAUAUCUAUAUAUAAGUUUUAAAAAAAAUAAUUAUUUUUAUAAGAAAAUAAUGAGGAUAUUUUUAUCUAAAUGAUCUCAAAAAAAAAAAUACCUAAAGAUAUUUUUGUAUGAUGUCUUGUCCAUCAUAAAAAAAAUUACUCAGGGAGGGUGUAGUUUGGUAAAGAGACCGAGCUCGUGGAUGGAAGCUCUGGCCCACAUCCGAAGAUUUCAUAACGACGUAUAAAGUAUAAACUAUCCUAGGCCUUCGCUUAUAACUUCAUUUGUGUGUUCCUUCCCAGAAUUUGAUUCAAGGUUCGCCCUACAGCCUUUUCAGCUGAUCCAAUUUCAUAGAUUACAUGGAUGCGCCAGUUCUUUUGCUUCUUCUCGCUCUGCUUCUAUCUUCUCCACUUCCAUCGUCUACCCUCGACAGUUUGAGUCAAGGCUCAUCCCUAUCAGUUGGGAAGCCUGAACAAGUUUUAAUUUCACAAAGUAGAAUCUUUUCAGCCGGCUUCUACCCCGUCGGUGACAAUGCUUAUUGUCUUGCCAUGUGGUUCACCAAACCAUCCUACGACGGGAAACAUACGGUUGUUUGGAUGGCAAACCGAAACCAACCAGUUAAUGGGAAUUUCUCAAAGCUUUCCCUGCUAAAAAAUGGUGAUCUUAUCUUAACAGAUGCCGGGCGGUUCAUAGUUUGGGCCACAAAGACGGUUGGGAUUUCUCCGGUGCGAUUACAUCUCUUCAAAUAAAAUACUUGACAGUGGCAUGUUGUGUUGGACCCUUGUAGUUGUUGGUUGUACAGGGCGGAUCCGCUUGAUUAGCUUUUGUAGCAUAUUGUAAGCAUGCAUGGCUCUCAAAAUCUUAAGAGACAGAAAUGAAAUUUACUCUAAUAAUAUAUAUAGACACGUAAAGAUAAAAAUAUACUAUUAUCCUUUUUCAUAUAGUAUUGUAUCUUGUAUAGAAUACAUAAUCACUUGAAGUAAUUGUAUUACCCAAUAAAUUGUACCUAGUUUUAGUGACGUAACCAACAAUUUGAUUUAAGGGUGGCAACUAUUAAUGCAUAUAUAGGCCUUAGCUCAAUAGUCAAGACUUGUUAUUGUUAAGGGAGACAUUAUCUGUCUUGAGUUCAAAUUCUUAUAUUGUAAAAAUUGAAUCUUUUAUUUUUUAGCAUUUUCAUGAGGAGAGAUGACCCCCAUAGGCUCUAUCUGGCUCUAUGUCAAUGCCUAGUUUAUUGAUCGAUGGUGUUUGAAUCUAUUUAUUUUUUAUUCUUAACAUUUUCAAGGGGUAGGUGCCCCUUAGGCCUUACCCAGCUCUACUUGUAUCUAGUUUAUUGAUUGAUGGUGUUUGAAUCUAUUCAUUAUAAAAUUUUCUUAUUUUUUAUUUUAGUUAAUAUUUUAUUUAAAUUGUUAAGCUUGUUUUCAAUGAUUAAAAUAAAUAAAAACAGCAUGCAUUAUUAAUUUAUUACGUCAAGUACAAUAAAAUAAGAAAAUAAUAUACUUGGCUAAAUAAGUUCAUUCAAUAGUAUUUCAGAAAGUAACUUUCAAAUGAUAAGGAAGUAACAAUAUUACACAAAAAAAAAAAAGUUCUCUGAGGUUAAAUUAUAUCUUAUAUUUAAUUAUUAAUAAAAAUAGAAUAGUCAAUUGUACUUUUAUUCAUACCUCAUAUUACUAUAUUAGAUGAUAAGCCAGUAUAGAUAGAUUAAUACUAUGAUUGGUUUCAAAAAAUUAUUAAGAAAAGAAAAAGAAUAUUAAGAAAAAUAGGUUUUUAAUAUCUUAUUUUAGUAUAAAAAUAAAAAAUAAGAUAUAAUUAAAAUUAAUUAAAAACUUACAUAUUUUUAAAUUAUUUGAUAUUUAUAUAAAAAAUAAUAUAUUAACUUAAAUGAGUUUAAGAUGGUAUAUAAAAUAAUUUAUCAGCUUUAAAUUUUUUUUUUUUUUACUUUUACAUGAUACUUAAAAAGGUAUAUAAAUAGAGAAACAGUAUACUAAAUAAAAUAAUUUUAUCUAUAUAUAAAAAUAAUUUAUUAAUUUAAAAUCUAUUUUUAUUUCCUUUUAACUUUUCUUUCCUUUCUUUUUCCAUAUUUUCCAAAUACUUCACAGAGCACUCCACUCCCUUUUUUUUUUUCUUUUUUUUUUCUUUUUUACCUCAAAAUUUCAGAAACCAAACAUAAAAAUACAAACACAGGUGUAAAGUUUGUAUCUUUGUGAAACUCAUGUAAUCCUGACCCAUGGGAACCUUCCCAUACAAUUAAUUUCCUGCAAAGGAAGGCGGCAGCAACAUGUCAUUGGGUGAGCGUCUUAGGAGACAAAAUCUGACCAGCGGUUGAAGGAAAAAUGCACAAUUUAACUUAUCUGUGGAAGCUUGCCCAGCUGGGUCGUUUUCCAAAACACGAGGCUGCAGCUUGGAACCUGGGGCAUUCAUAUUCCAUCAUCAUCAUUAUUAACAUUUUUAUUCCAUCUAGCUUUCACCUUCCCAUGGGAAUUGCUACCAUCCGCACAAGUCAAGAGCGACUUUGUCUUUUCCAUAAAUAUUAGUAUUAUUUGUGUGUUCCUUCCCAGAAUUUGAUUCAAGCUCAGCCCUACGGCCUUUUCAACUGAUCCAACUUCAUAGAUGACAUGGAUGCGCCAGUUCUUUUGCUUCUUCUCACUCUGCUUCUAUCUUCUCCACUUCCAUCGUCCACCCUCGACAGUUUGAGUCAAGGCUCAUCCCUCUCAGUUGGAAAGCCUGAACAAGUUUUGAUUUCACAAAGUGGAAUCUUCUCAGCUGGCUUCUACCCCGUCGGUGAUAAUGCUUAUUGUCUUGCCAUAUGGUUCACCAAACCAUCCUACGACGGCAAACAUACCGCUGUUUGGAUGGCAAACCGAAACCAACCAGUUAAUGGGAAUUUCUCAAAGCUUUCGCUGCUAGAAAGUGGUGAUCUUAUCUUAACAGAUGCUGGGCGGUUCAUAGUUUGGACCAUAAAGAGGGUUGGGAUUUCUCCGGUGCAAUUACACCUCUUCAACACUGGUAACCUUGUGCUGCGUACCUCGGAUGGUGUUAUUCAAUGGCAAAGUUUCGAUUCACCAACAGAUACCCUUCUCCCUCACCAACCACUCACCAGAAAUACGAGACUCGUCUCUUCAAGAACCAAAACCAACUUUUUCUCAGGGUUUUAUAAGCUCUAUUUUGACAACAAUAACGUCCUCAGUCUUGUCUUCGAUGGGCGGGACGCUUCAAGCAUUUACUGGCCCCCAUCGUGGCUUGUAAGCUGGCAGGCGGGAAGAUCGGCAUACAACAGCAGCAGAACUGCAUUACUAGAUAACUUUGGCUAUUUUUCUUCAUCCGACGAUUUUAAGUUUCAGUCCUCGGAUUUUGGUGAGAGAGUCCAAAGAAGAUUGACCCUGGAUAUUGAUGGCAACUUACGAUUAUACAGUUUUGAGGAAAGGAGAAAUAAGUGGGUUGUUACUUGGCAAGCCAUCACGCUACAAUGCAACAUUCAUGGAAUAUGCGGACCCAACAGUAUUUGUACCUAUGUGCCUGGUUCUGGGAGUGGAAGGAGAUGCUCUUGCAUACCUGGAUAUGAGAUGAAAAAUCGCACUGACCGAACUUAUGGAUGCAUACCUAAAUUCAAUCUUUCUUGCGACUCACAGAAGGUUGGUUUCCUCCUACUCCCACACGUUGAGUUCUACGGCUAUGAUUAUGGCUAUUACCCCAAUUACACCUUACAGAUGUGUGAAAAACUGUGCUUGGAAAUAUGUGGCUGCAUAGGAUAUCAAUACAGCUAUAAUUCGGAUGUUUAUAAAUGUUAUCCUAAGCGGCUGUUGCUCAACGGAUACCGCUCGCCUAGUUUUGUAGGACAUAUAUACCUAAAAUUGCCUAAAGCUAGUCUUCUUUCCUAUGAAAAACCGGUUAAGGAAUUCAUGUUAGAUUGCUCUGGCAACCGCUCAGAGCAGCUAGUAAGAUCUUAUGCAAAAGCCCACGAAAAUGAAGUGUUAAAGUUCAUCCUCUGGUUUGCGUGCGCAAUUGGAGCAGUUGAGAUGGUUUGCAUUUGUAUGGUGUGGUGUUUCUUGAUGAAGGCCCAGCAAAACACCAGUACAGAUCCGCCAGGCUACAUUUUAGCUGCCACGGGAUUCAGAAAAUUCACCUAUACUGAGCUGAAGAAAGCAACACGGGGUUUCAGUGAGGAGAUUGGCAGAGGAGGAGGUGGGGUUGUAUACAAAGGUGUCUUAUCAGACCACCGAGUGGCAGCCAUCAAGCAGCUCAGUGGAGCUAACCAAGGAGAAUCUGAAUUCUUGGCAGAAGUAAGUACCAUUGGGAGGCUUAACCACAUGAACUUGAUAGAGAUGUGGGGUUAUUGCUUUGAGGGGAAGCACAGGCUCUUGGUUUAUGAAUACAUGGAGCAUGGAUCACUAGCACAAAACCUCACUUCCAAUACACUUGAUUGGCAGAAGAGGUUCGACAUUGCGGUGGGCACAGCAAAAGGCCUGGCUUAUUUACACGAAGAGUGCUUGGAGUGGGUUCUACACUGCGAUGUGAAGCCUCAAAACAUACUCCUAGACGUUAAUUAUCAGCCAAAGGUGGCAGACUUCGGCCUGUCAAAGUUACAGAACAGAGGAGAAAUCAACAAUUCGAGAUUGUCGAGGAUCAGAGGAACAAGAGGUUACAUGGCUCCAGAAUGGGUUUUGAACCUCCCCAUCACCUCCAAAGUAGACGUUUAUAGCUAUGGUAUUGUGGUUCUGGAGAUGGUUACCGGCCGAAGGAGUGCUUCAAUGGCCAUCCACGGUACAGAUGGCAUAGGGGAACGUCAGAGUUUGGUGGCAUGGGUGAAAGGGAAGAUGAAUGGAGCAACUGCGGUUGCUUCGUGGAUGAAAGAAAUCCUAGACCCGUCGAUGGAAGGCGAAUAUGACAUGGGUGAGAUGGAAAUUCUAGUAGCAGUGGCUUUGCAAUGUGUGGAAUUGGACAAGGAUGAAAGACCCACCAUGAGUCAGGUGGUCGAGACGCUUCUCCGCCCCGAACGUGGAAACAAUCAUCACUACUAAUAAAUUAAUGCCUCGUAUGGGGCCCAAGUGAGGUGGCUUUCUGUACCUGUUCCGCCCAUUUAUGAUAUUUGUAAAAAGACAGUAAUUUUAAGUAGAAUAAUUGAGAAGCCGAAUCUUUUGAUACAACAUACAAUAUAAUUAUAUUGAAGUAUCUUUUUAAAAGAUACAACUUGGUUAUAAAUUUUAAUGUCAAUCUUCUCGAAUGUUAAGUAAAAAAUUGUUUAAUUUUUUUAGAAAAUCUUUAAUAUUAUGUCACUAUAUUUAAAGUAUUUUUUAAGAGGUUAUCAAAAUUUGAUAUUAUUUUUUAAUUCAAAUUUAUAAUUAUAAUUUAUAAAUAGUUUUUUAAUUAUUAUAAAAUACCGGACUUCUUACUAGAUCAAUUAGAAUGGACGAUCAUCUAUUCCUCUAUAUCUCUUCAAUAUUGUUGCUAUCCUCCUCCCAACUUUAUAUAAAAUAAAAAUUUUACUAAUAAAUAUUACAUGGAAUUUUGUUCCCAAUAUCUCUCCUUCGUACUCUUAUCUUAUUAAACUCUUCUUUUACAAUAUUAAUUGAUAUAUUUUAGGUAUUUGUAUGUUAGUGAAUUAAUUUAAAUAUCGUAGGUUUUGACUUUUGGGACAACCAUUUUAGAGAGCUCAUACAUCACGCACUACCACCUCAACCUUCUUUGACAUUCAUUUAUUUAUUUUUAUUACCUUUCGAUCGGUGAUAUCAUUGCUUAGGAACAAUAAUUAUUGUGAAGGCAUUUUAUCUUUUUCGUUUACCCAAGAAUAAUCAUACUAAUAUAAACAAAUAAUUUUGAUCAUGCACAAAUAAAUAUAUUUUUAUAAAAUUUAGAUUUAAUUUUUUAGUAUAUGACAUAGAUUCUUCUUCUUCUCCUUUGCUAAAUCUCAUGUGGUUGGAUUUGGAGCAUCGACUGUACGUAUUAUUCAAUUGUGAAAGACAAAUUUCAUUGAGUUGAAAGACCAAUGGGCCAUGGACGCAAUGCUUGCUUCACUUAAUUUUUUAAAACUCGUUUUUAGUAGUACAAAUUUUUUUAUUAUAUAAAGUAUUGAUGUUAUUAUCUUUUUAUAUUAAUUUUAUUUUUCUUCCAUUUUUUAUAUUGAUUUUAUAAAAACAUAUCUUGGGAUAUUAUUUCACUAAAAACAUAUCAUAUGCAUAACCGUUUAACAUGCAAUUUUUUCAUACAUAAUCAAAGAUAGACUUUUUUUUCCUUUUACUUUUUUUCCUUCUUUUUUUUUUUUUGGUAUUUUGUCGUAAACAAACACGGUCUUAGAAUUUAAUCACAAACAAAGUAUUAUGUUACUUUUAAUCAAAUUUAAGGACUUGGCAUGCCUGUCAUGUACUUUAGACACAAAUGAAAAGUUUGAGGUCUCCUAUUGAAAAUUUAAUUCAUUCCAGUAUACCAUAUUAUUAUUAUUAUUAUUAUUUUGGUGAUCAUGGGUAUAAAUAUUACUAGGAAAAAAGGCAAAUUGACGUAAUAGAAGGCCUAACGGCUCAUGUUUUGUAUUUAUUUAAAUUAGUAUUUAUUAAUCAUUUAUUGAUGUGAUAAAAAAUUUGUAAUUCAAAAUUUGAUUUUAUCAAGUGAAGUACCCGAUAAACAGAAACGGAGGAACCUAAAGGGAGGGAAAAAAAAAAGGUGAAAUGAAGACACAUCCAAAAACCCUAAUGGCCUAUUGUCACACCCUCGAAAAUCACCUUAAAUUUUUCUUACGAGUGCGUGGUGCUAAGGACCCGUCCUUAGCCAACCUUCCCUUCCCAACGUUUAGAAGAACAGAAUAGAAUACAGAAAUCAAAGCAACAGGGACACACGAGGUUGCAGGAAAAUCCUUUCCCAACUUGUAUUAAUCACUCUUACAAGACAAAAUUGCUUCUUGAACUAGAGUACAAUGCACUUACCCAAGGCAUACAAGAAGGAAUCCUUUCCCCAACUCUCACCCUCUGUUUCAAGGCUGCAGGAGCCCUAUUUAAAUGACUCAUCUACAGUUACACAUUUGAAUUCCCUCAAUUCAAAUCUUGGAGCCAACUAGGUGGUCAUGCAACUGGCCAGAACUGCCCUCAACUGCUUGCACAACCACCCACUGUGGAUUCGGCUCCUUGCGACACGUGGCAUCGCGCAUUUCACCCGGACGGAAAUUCUCCCUUAUUCCACCCGAAUAUCUCAUAUCCGGAAUUCUGUCCGCUGACGUUCCACUCGGAUAUCUCACAUCCGGCGCCUGUCCGCCGCCGUUCCACUCGGAUAUCUUACAUCUGGCGCCUGUCCACCGUUGUUCCACCCGAAUAUCUCUCAUCCGACGCCCCAUGUCAUCGGAUAGGAGAGGAGGACGAUUCAACUUCCCCAGGUAGACAUGUCCGAAUCCUUUGGUAACGCCUAUUCGGGGUGCGCGCAUGACUUGUCCACGAUCCCCACACUUAGCUCCUGGGGUUUGAACCACAAAACCUCCAGGCUUUCCUUGCUUUCCACCUAGGCUCUCAUAGGUGCAAGACCUACCCAUGAGGCUUAUUUCUCCGGGUUUGAAUCAAGUGGAUAAGGGGUUGACACAUAUCCCCUAAAAAUUCUAGCUUUAGAAUUAUUGUCCUAGAAGAAAAAGACGAGCAAGUGUUUUCUCACAUCAUGGAGUUACUAUAUAACGUUAAAAAACUAAAGUAUUGUUUGUUUUCUUAAUUUUUUAUUUCGGUUUUUUUUAAACCUUUCAUUAACUUAUUAUUUACUUCUUAAAUUUUUUUAUUAAAUAAAAAAUUUUAAAUAUAUAAAAUUUUUAAAUAUUGAAAAUAAUUCAUUAAUUUUUCUUUACUUAUUUAAUAAAAAUAAAAUAUAAAAAAUGAACAAUUUAAUACUUAAUAUUAUUAAAUACUAUUUAAUUUUAAAUUUUAUUUAAAAUUAAGUUAAAAAGAAACACCAUUUAAAUGUCUUCAUUGUGUGUUGGACAUUAUCAACUCUACUCUUUUAUAAAAAAAUUUAUUUUAGGAAAUUUUAGUUUCCAAAUGAAGUAGGUUUAUAAACAUAUCAAUUGCCUUAAAUUUAAUUGAAAUAAAUAAACAAUAAAAAAACACUUGAAUUGAUUAAGGAACAAUUUUUUUAUGCCAAGGGAAGAUGGUGGUGAUAUAUUGAUUUGAGUAAGGAUUUCAUAAUUUCUCAAAAGAAAGAGAAAGAGGAAAAAGCAAGAUUUAUUAAAAGAUAGAUACAUUAGGAUAUCAUAUUCGAAUUUAGUAUUUUUGUUUUCUCUUCUUUAUAAAACUAAAUAAUAGAAAUCAAAUACUUUUACCAACUUCGCAUACUGCACCGUUUCGUUUUUCACUUCGUCUAAUUUUACCUUCAAUUCAUUUGUUUCCUAUUUUAUUUCUUGAAACAUGUAUUGACUAAAGCCUCUGUACCAAUGUUUCAGGACAUGGAGAGGUAGCCGUCCUCCUCCGGCCUCUCCUCCGGUCACAUAAGCUUCUCAACUAUCUGGCUCAUCGUGGGUCUUGAGUCCCUGUCUUCCUCCACACAUUCCAAGGCAACUCCAAUCAGAAUUUCCAUCCGGCGCAGGUCGCAUUCGCCUUGCAUCACAGGGUCCAGGAUGUCUUCAAUCCACGACCCCCUGGCACCAAUCCCAUUCAUUCGAUCCCUCACCCAUUUAAUCAACCCACGCUGCUCUGUCUCUCCUUGGGCAUCAGUAUCGGGGAUAGCAGUUGGGCUCUUCCCUGUCACCAUCUCCAAAACCACGAUUCCAUAGUUAUAAACGUCUACCUUGGAGGUUAUGGGAAGGUUGAAUACCCAUUCAGGAGCCAUGUAUCCUCUGGUUCCUCUGAUCCUCGAGAAACUUGAAUUGUCAAGCCCUCCUCUGUUUCGCAGUUUCGACAUCCCAAAAUCGGCCACUUUUGGCUGGUAAUUAGAGUCCAAGAGUAUGUUCUGAGGCUUGACGUCACAGUGCAGAACCCACUCCAAGCAUUCUUCGUGUAAAUAAGCUAGGCCUCUGGCCGUGCCAAGCGCUAUUUGGAACCUCUUCUCCCAAUCAAGAGUAUUGGAAGAUAGCUUUUGUGCCAAGGAUCCAUGUUCCAUGUACUCAUACACCAACAGCCGGUGCUUCCCCUCUAUGCAAUAUCCCCACGUCUCUAUUAAGUUCAUGUGAUUAAGCCUUCCAAUGGUGCUCACUUCUGCUAGAAAUUCUGCUUCUCCUUGAUUGGCUUCUUUGAGGCGCUUGAUUGCUGCCACUCGACGAUCAAGCAAUACACCUUUAUAUACCACUCCUCCACCUCCUCUUCCAAUCUCUUGGGUGAAACCUCGCGUGGCCUUCUUCAACUUUGCAUAGCUGAAUCUUUUAAACCCGUUUGCAACGAGGAUGUAGCCUUGCAUGGUCGAGACUGGAUCAUGGUGUACCCUAAAUAAGAAAAGCCAUACCAGCAAGACAAUUGCCCCCUCUAGAACUCCCAGUACGUAGGCAAACCAAAGCAAAAACUUCAAUGACCCAUUUUCAUGGCCCUUGCGAUAUGUUGUAUCUAGCUGUAUAUAACGAGUGUUGCCUGAACAAUUCAUGGUGAAUUCUUCAAGAGUGUUGGAAAUCAAGCCAGCAUCCUCUGUUUACUUCCCUAAUUAGUGUAAUGUACAGCCUUUAUUAUAAUUGAUUUAGGAGUAAUUCUAGCAAGGUAGUUUAUUCACUUUCCAUGUAAGAGUAGUUUAUUCACUUCCCAUGUAAGAGUAGUUUAUUCACUUCCCAUGUAAGAGUUUAUUCACUUUCCAUGUAAGGGAAAUUCCAUUCCGGAAUUGUCUCAUAUCUGUAGGCUAUUUAUUUAUGCUUUCAUUCAUUGUAAAGGGUGAGAUCACGGAAUGAAUUGAGGUGUUCCUCCAUAGUUUGUCUUCAAAUUCUUCAUAUUUUUCUUCAAAUUCUUCAAAGAUGAUCAUAUCUGGGAAAGAGACUAGCUUUAGGCAGUUUUAGAUACAUGGUUCCAGGAUAAUUUGGCGAACUGAAUCCAUUAAGCAAGAGGGUAUUUGGGUAACAAUCGUAAAGGUCGUCGCUAAAAUUUAGCAGGAAGGCCUUGCAUUUGCACAACUGUAAGCAUAGAUUUUCACACCUUUCGUAGGUGUAAUUGGGGUAGUGACCAUAGUCAUAGCCGUAGAGUUGAACAUGAGGGAGUGGGAAGAAGCCCACCUCAGUUUGGUUACAAGCGAUAUCAGUUUCUGGUGCACACCCAUAAGACUAGUCAGUUGAAUUUACAAUCUUGAAUCCAGGCAUGCAAGAGCAUCCUCUGCCAUAAGCAGGGGUGUAACUGCAGAGACUAUUGGGUUCGCAGAUGCCAUGAAUCUGGCAUGGUUGGGAGAUAGCCUGCCAUGAAACCGACCAGGUUCCUCUCGUUUCUUCUAGACUAUACAUUCUAAGAUUGCCAUCGAAAUCGAGGGCCAAUCUUCUCUGAGGCCCUGCACCAAAAUCCGCUGACCGAAAUUCCAAAUCAUCUGAUGCUCUAUAAUAACCCAAAGAAUCGAAUACUGCGAUUCGACUGUUGUUGUAUGUGCUCCUUCCAGCAUCCCAGGUCACCAGGCUUAGGUCUGGCCAAUAGAUGCUGGAAACCUCAGUACCAUUGAAGAGAAGGCGGAUGACGUUAUCACUGUCAAAAAAUAGCUUAUAAAAACCAGAAGAAUAGUUGCUUUGGCUUCUUGAGGAGAUAAGGCUGGUAUCUUUGGUCAGUAUCUGGUGAGGAAGAAGAGUAUCUGUGGGUGAGUCAAAGCUCUGCCAAAUCACCGUCUUCUCCCAAGCAUAUAGAACAAGAUUGCCGGUGUUAAGGAGCUGUAAUCUCGCAGAUGAGGUUGAAACUGUCACGCCCCAAGACCCACUCCAAGGGCGUGACGGUCAUUUCACACCUCAAACCCGAAGGCUUAAAGUAUAAUCUGACCCGAACAAUCAUAUUAUAACUAGAUGUUACCAAUUACCAAAUACCUGUUCAGAGUAGCAGAACAAAAUCUAAAUUCCUCAAAAUUCAAUUUCCAAAUAACUUCCAAAUAUCAAAUGAUCCAAAUGAACAUAACUAACAGUUAAACAAAAUCCAACAUAAAAUCCUAAGUCAAAUCUUAAUGAUGACCAUUCUUCAGCCUAGCCAUCACUCCUCACCCGAACUAAGAGUACCUGAAAAUUUUCAACAAUUGGGAAUGAGCUCACAGCCCAAUAAGGAAUAUUAAUGCAAUUCAUGGAUCAAAUAUUUUCAUUUCAAAUAGGAGAUAUCAAUUUUUUUUUUUCUCAUCAAAUAUCAGAGUUCCAAAAAUACCAAUAUAUUCAAAAUUCAACCAACCAAUUUCAUAUCAAAUUCAAACACUUUCACAUAAAAUUCAAUCAAAUUCAUUCAAGUUUCAUUACUCUGGUUAUCAAAUAUCAAAUGCCCAGUUAGGUGGGACUUUUCAAAUGGGUGGCUAGCCUCAAAUUGUUCCUGGUGGACGGAACCUAAACACNNNNNNNNNNNNNNNNNNNNNNNNNNNNNNNNNNNNNNNNNNNNNNNNNNNNNNNNNNNNNNNNNNNNNNNNNNNNNNNNNNNNNNNNNNNNNNNNNNNNCCGAACUAAGAGUACUGAAAAUUUUCACAAUUGGGAAUGAGCUCACAGCCCAAUAAGGAAUAUUAAUGCAAUUCAUGGAUCAAAUAUUUUCAUUUCAAAUAGGAGAUAUCAAUUUUUUUUUUUCUCAUCAAAUAUCAGAGUUCCAAAAAUACCAAUAUAUUCAAAAUUCAACCAACCAAUUUCAUAUCAAAUUCAAACACUUUCACAUAAAAUUCAAUCAAAUUCAUUCAAGUUUCAUUACUCUGGUUAUCAAAUAUCAAAUGCCCAGUUAGGUGGGACUUUUCAAAUGGGUGGCUAGCCUCAAAUUGUUCCUGGUGGACGGAACCAAACACUACUAGUACUAGUAACCUCUAACCAAACCCCUAGAGGCUGGGGUCCAAAUCAAUUACAUUCCCACCAUGAAAUGUAAAGGUCAACUAUUAUAUCCCGUUGAUAGGGCCGAAUAGUCAAUUAUUAUAUCCCGUUGACAAGGGUCAAAUAAACCAGAGUGAUGUUUUUGUUCAAGUUUUCAAAUUUACACAACAUAAUAUCUCCAUAUUUUGUGUCAUAAAUAAAACAAAAUAUUCCAACAUAACAUUUAGUGCAAAACAAUUUGAUCCAUGCAUGGUAACAAAAUAUCAUUUUCUUUUCCACAAUUCAAAAUAACAUAUAAGAUAAUUUAAUUUUAUAAAUAUUACAUUAACUUCCCUUACCUCAAAAGAAGUCCUUGAAAGCUUGGGAGAAGAAUAAUUCUGAAAAAAAAAAUAUAAUCUACUCUUCACCUAAUAUAACAUAAAAGAAACAAUUAUUACUAUUUAUUUAUAAUUUAACUAAUCUAUUCCUUAUUAAAAAAAAAUUAAAAAAUUCCCAAUUGGUUUUUAAUAUACCAUUACUAAUUUAAUUAAAUAAUACCUUUAUUUGGCUAUAAAAUUCUAUAUUUAUAUAUUUAUAUAUGGCUAAUUUUCUUUUUCUUUUUUUACCAAAAAUACCAUUUUUAUUUUUUUUUUAUUUAAAAAUUUAAAACUAAUUUUUUUUUUUUAAUUACCCAAUUCCAACCCAUCCACCUUGGGGUACACCAAACCAAAAAGCAAGUUUUUAUUUUUAUUUUUUAUUUUUUUUUCAUUCCCAACCAGGAUCCAUUAAUAUAUAUAUAUAUAUAUAUAUAUAAAAGGGGCUUCCUGGCACACGCACCUUUUUUUUUUUUUUUUAAUAAAAUUAACCCUAACCUAAAAUCAAAACCUUCCAAGAAAUUUUUUUUUUUUUCUAAUAAAACUUAAGAUCUCCCAAAUUCCAAUACUAAAAUCAAAAUAUUAAAUUUUCACUAUUUGAUAUUAAAACGAAUUAAAAAAAUAAUCUAACCCUAAUCUAGAUUUGGGGUUUUCCAAAAAAAUAUAUCUAAUGUGUUUGAAAUUAAUCAAUGAAUCUAAAAUAUUAAACUAGGGGUUAGAAUCUUACCUAUAGAGAUCUGUUCUUCAACCCUGAAAUCUGACUCCAAUCUUACGUUCUCUGGAAUUCUACGAACAGGAAAUCUAUUCAGAAAAAAAGGGAAAAAAAUAAAAUUUCUAAUUUAUACCUAGGGUAUUUAUUCGUAAAAUUACACUUUUACCCUUCUUCCACUUUAUUAAAUUAAUUAAUUAAUUAAUUUAAUUAUUAAUAACAAUUUCCUAAAUUACCCUUAAAAGAAAAUGCUUGGGCAUUACAUCCUCCCCUCCUUAACAAAAGUUUAGUCCUCUAAACUUGACAUACCUGAGUCUUGAAAUAAUUGAGGAUGUUUUUCUCUCAUCUCUUCUUCUAACUCCCAAGUGGCCUCUCGGAUACUAUGAUUGCUCCACUGGACCUUUACCAACUUGACAACAGCAUGUCGUAGUACCUUAUCCAUCAUAUCCACAAUUUGAACGGGUACCUCUUCAUAGGUCAAGUCCUCAAAAUUUUGAAUAGGCUCCAACUCCACAACAUGAGAAGGAUCAUAAAUAUACUUCCUUAGAGUCGAAACAUGAAACACAUUAUGAACCUUAGACAAGCUUGGGGGCAAGACUACUUUAUAUGCCAAAGUGCCUACUCUUUCUAAUAUUUCAAACGGACCCACAAAACGAGGACUAAGUUUUCCUUUUCUCCCAAAUCUCAUCACAUACUUCAUAGGUGAAACUUUCAAGAACACAUGAUCACCCACCUCAAACUCCAAAUCUCGCCUACGAUGAUCAGCAUAACUCUUAUGUCUACUUUGAGCUGCUUUUAAUAUUUCUUUAAUCAAAGCAACCUUUUCAACAGUCAACUGCACAAGUUCAGGCCCCAAAAGUUUCCUUUCUCCAACAUCAUUCCAAUAGAUAGGAGAUCGACAUUUCCUACCAUACAAUGCCUCAAAAGGUGUCAUCCCAAUGCUAGCUUGAAAACUAUUGUUAUAGGCAAACUCUACUAAAGGUAAAUGAUCAUCCCAAUUACCUUGCAGGUCCAAAAUACAAGCUCUCAACAAGUCUUCCAAAACCUUAAUUACCCUUUCUGAUUGGCCAUCAGUUUGAGGAUGGAAAGCAGUACUAAAACUCAACUUAGUGCCCAAAGUUUUUUGUAGACUAUGCCAGAAUCUAGAAGUGAAACGAGGAUCUCUAUCAGACACUAUAGAAACUGGUACUCCAUGCAUUCUCACAAUCUCCUUCACAUAAAGAGAAGCUAAACGAUCUAAAGAAAAGUUCACUUUCAUAGGUAAAAAGUGAGCAGACUUUGUCAACCGAUCAACAAUCACCCAAAUAGCAUUAUUACCCCCUAAGGUUCUUGGCAAUCCUAUCACAAAAUCCAUGGUAAUAUGCUCCCACUUCCACUCAGGAAUAGCAAGUGGCUGCAAAGACCCUGCUGGUCGUUGAUGUUCAGCCUUCACCUGUUGACACACUAAAUACUGAGCCACAAAUUGUGCAAUAUCACGCUUCAUACCUGACCACCAAUAGUUUUGCCUCAAAUCCUUGUACAUCUUUGUCCCUCCUGGGUGGAUUGCAAACUUGGAACAAUGAGCUUCCUCUAAAAGCUCCCUCUUUAAGUCUUCAUCAUUUGGGACACAAAGUCUAGUCCCAAAUCUCAAGAUCUCAUCAUCUGACAAAACAAAAUCAGGCUUACUGUCCCUCUUAACUUCCUCCAUAACUUGCACUAAUUGGGAAUCAUUCUUUUGUAGGGUCUUAAUUCUCCCAACUAAGUCUGGUUGUACUCUGAAAUUUGCUACAAGUGCUCCUAAGCCCAUAACUCGAAAGUGGACUUGUAAACUCCUCAACUCUUCAAGUAACUGCCUUUGACAACCUCUAAUAGCUGCUAGAGAACCAACUGACUUCCUACUCAAGGCAUCAGCUACAACAUUCGCCUUCCCAGGAUGAUACUGAAUAAUACAAUCAUAGUCCUUAAGUAGUUCUAUCCAUCUUCUCUGUCUUAUGUUCAACUCCUUUUGGGAAAAUAGAUACUUCAAACUCUUAUGAUCUGUGAAUAUCUCACAAGUUUCACCAAAAAGAAAAUGUCUCCAAAUCUUAAGUGCAAAAACCACAGCAGCUAACUCCAAAUCAUGAGUAGGGUAAUUCCUUUCAUAAGGCUUCAACUGUCUAGAAGCAUAAGCUACAACUCUCCCAUGUUGCAUAAGAACACAACCUAAACCCUGAUGAGAAGCAUUACUAUACACCACAAAUCCUCCUGAACCUGAAGGGAUAGUCAAAAUAGGAGCUGACACUAAUCUAUUCUUCAACUCUUGGAAGCUACAUUCACAAUCAUCAGACCACUCAAACUUAACUCCCUUCUGUGUCAACUUAGUUAAAGGUAGGGCAAUCUUAGAGAACCCUUCUAUAAACCGCCUAUAGUAACCAGCAAGUCCCAAGAAACUUCGAAUCUCAGUCACAGUACUAGGUCUUCUCCAAUUAGCUACAGCAUCUACCUUGCCAGGGUCAACUGAGAUGCCAUCAUUGCUUACCACAUGCCCAAGGAAAGAAAUUCAGUCUAACCAAAACUCACACUUCUUCAGUUUAGCAUACAACUGCUUAUCUCUGAGGAUAUGUAAUACAAUACUCAAAUGGCCCUCAUGCUCCUCUCUACUUCUUGAGUAUACCAAGAUGUCAUCUAUAAAAACCACCACAAAUUGAUCUAAAUAGGGUUUGAAUACCCUAUUCAUCAAGUCCAUAAAAGCAGCAGGUGCAUUAGUCAAACCAAAAGGCAUAACAAGAAACUCAUAGUGCCCAUACCUAGUUCGAAAAGCAGUCUUGGGUACAUCUUCCCCUCUAACCCUCAACUGGUGAUAACCCGAUCAAAGAUCUAUCUUAGAGAACACACAAGCACCUUGUAACUGAUCAAACAAAUCAUCAAUCCGAGGAAGGGGAUACUUGUUCCUCACUAUCACCUUAUUCAACUCCCUAUAGUCAAUGCAAAGUCUCAUUGAGCCAUCCUUCUUUUUCACAAAUAGAACAGGAGCUCCCCAAGGUGAAACACUAGGCCUGAUAAAACCCUUGUCUAAUAACUCUUGAAGCUGAACUUUCAACUCCUUAAGCUCCACAGGUGCCAUCCUGUAUGGGGCCUUAGACAUAGGACCUAUUCCUAGUACUAGAUCAAUGGUGAACUCCACCUCUCUCUCUGGUGGCAAGCCAGACAAAUCCUCUGGAAAGACAUCAGGAUACUCUCUUACUAUAGGUAUGUCUUCCAACUUCAAAUCACUUUCAUUACUCACCAUACUAGCCAAAAAUCCUUGGCAACCCUUCUUAAGCAAGCUACUAGCACGCAAGGCUGAGAUCAUACGCAGUGGUCUGUCCACAUGCUUCCCUUCAAAGCUAAACUUAGGCUGACCAGGAAUACUAAAUGUCACUCUUUUCUCAAAACAGUCAACAGAGGCAUGGUAGGAAGCUAACCAAUCCAUACCCAAAAUCACAUCAAAAUCCUGAAGGUCAAGGAGUACUAAAUCAACUGGCAUUUCCCUAUAACCAAUCAUCACAAUACAAUUUCUAAGCAUUCUACUGGCCACAACAGAAUCUCCCACAGGAGUAGCAACAAUCAAAUCAAAGUCCAUGCUAACAACAGGCAAACCCAACAAACCAGCAAAAGAUACUGAAACAAAAGAGUGUGUUGAUCCAGGAUCAAUCAGACUCUAGCAAAUAAGGUGUGGAUUCGGAGAGUACCUGUCACCACAUCAGAAGUGGCCUGAGCAUCUCGAUGAGUCAUAGCAAACACCCGUCCUUGGGCUUUGGGUUUCUGUUUUAUCUCCUUAUUUUCCUCUUUAAGCUUCCCAGUGAUGAACUUACCUAUUCCUCUGAUCAAAUGUCCUUGCNNNNNNNNNNNNNNNNNNNNNNNNNNNNNNNNNNNNNNNNNNNNNNNNNNNNNNNNNNNNNNNNNNNNNNNNNNNNNNNNNNNNNNNNNNNNNNNNNNNNGUGAUAACCCGAUCGAAGAUCUAUCUUAGAGAACACACAAGCACCUUGUAGCUAAUCAAACAAAUCAUCAAUCCGAGGAAGGGGAUACUUAUUCCUCACUGUCACCUUAUUCAACUCCCUAUAGUCAAUGCAAAGUCUCAUUGAGCCAUCCUUCUUUUUUACAAAUAGAACAGGAGCUCCCCAAGGUGAAACACUAGGCCUGAUAAAACCCUUGUCUAAUAACUCCUGAAGCUGAACUUUUAACUCCUUAAGCUCCAUAGGUGCCAUCCUGUAUGGGGCCUUAGACAUAGGACCUGUUCCUGGUACCAGAUCAAUGGUGAACUCCACCUCUCUCUCUGGUGGCAAGCCAGGCAAAUCCUCUGGAAAGACAUCAGGAUACUCCCUUACUAUGGGUAUGUCUUCCAACUUCAAAUCACUUCCAUUACUCACCACACUAGCCAAAAAUCCUUGGCAACCCUUCUUAAGCAAGCUACUAGCUCGCAAGGCUGAGAUCAUACGCAGUGGUCUGUCCACAUGCUUCCCUUCAAAGCUAUACUUAGGCUGACCAGGAAUACUAAACGUCACCCUUUUCUCAAAACAGUCAACAGAGGCAUGGUAGGAAGCUAACCAAUCCAUCCCCAAAAUCACAUCAAAAUCCUGAAGGUCAAGGAGUACUAAAUCAACUGGCAUUUCCCUAUAACCAAUCAUCACAAUACAAUUUCUAAGCAUUCUACUGGCCACAACAGAAUCUCCCACAGGAGUAGCAACAAUCAAAUCAAAGUCCAUGCUAACAACAGGCAAACCCAACAAACCAGCAAAAGAUACUGAAACAAAAGAGUGUGUUGAUCCAGGAUCAAUCAAGACUCUAGCAAAUAAGGUGUGGAUUCGGAGAGUACCUGUCACCACAUCAGAAGUGGCCUGAGCAUCUCGAUGAGUCAUAGCAAACACCCGUCCUUGGGCUUUGGGUUUCUGUUUAUCCUCCUUAUUUUCCUCUUUAAGCUUCCCAGUGAUGAACUUCCUAUUCUCUGAUCAAAUGUCCUUGCUUCCCACAACCAAAGCAAGCUCCAGUCUCUCUAUAGCAUGGCCUACCCCCAUGCUUCUUACCACAAGUAGGACAAGCCCCAUCUAAAUUCUGCGCUGCCUUCCCUUUAUUCUGAUUUCUUCCUGAUGUAGACCUUCGCUGUGCUUGAUUACCAUGAGCACCAUCACUCCUAUUUCGCUUCCUUUGCUGUUCCCUAUACUGAUGAAGCUCUUCAUUAUCUUUCUCUGUUAUAAGGGCUCUGUCAACAACCUCUGAAUAGACACCAAGCUUCAGAAUAGAUAUCUUGUUCUUCAAAUAAGGCUUCAAUCCAUCCUGAAACUUUAAUGCCUUUUCCUCCUCUAUAGCAAUCAACUGUGGGGAAAAACGUGAUAACUUUGUAAAUUUGGCCUCAUACUGAGCCACAGUCAUAUCCCUCUGUUCCAAACGAAUAAACUCUCCCACCUUCUGCCACCUAACACUGUCAGGGAAAUACUUCUUGUAGAAAGCCUCCCUAAAUUGUCUCCAUGUUAUGGGUCCCUGAUCCUCCAAAAGUCUCUUAGUCAUACGCCACCAAUGAUCUGUCUCUUUAUCUAACAUAAAAGCUGCAUAAGAGGCUUUUUGCUCCUCAGAGCAAUCUAUGACACCAAAGAAUUUCUCCAUCUUAAGGAUCCAAGCCUCUGCCUCUGUGGGAUCUGUAGCACCAGAAAAGUAAGGAGGACCCAAUUUCUUGAAGUCAUCAAAAGAGCUACCCCUAGAAGAUGAAGACUGUCCCUGAACAUUAGUCCCAACAGCUCGAGCUUGGCGUUCAACUAAACCAACUAGUGUCCCAAGAUACCUAUAGAUCCCUUCUGCACUCACGGGAGGCAAACCCUCAAUUGGAGGUACAUCGUCAUUAGCCUGACUGUUUUGUGAAGAAGUUGUUCUUCUUGGUGGCAUGAUGUCCUAAAAUAAUAAGGCAUAACUAAAUUAGUCACUAAAGAACCAAUUAGAAAAUUUUCCAAUUAAAGAAAGAAUUGGAAUUUAUACUAAAUGAAACUAAAACUUAAACAAAUGCGUUACUCAUCUAUCCCUAAUCUAAACCAAUUCAAAUUCCCAUCAAGAUCAAAACCUAGUGCUCUGAUACCACUCUGUCACGCCCCAAGACCCACUCCAAGGGCGUGACGGUCAUUUCACACCUCAAACCCGAAGGCUUAAAGUAUAAUCUGACCCGAACAAUCAUAUUGUAACUAGAUGUUACCAAUUACCAAAUACCUGUUCAGAGUAGCGGAACAAAAUCUAAAUUCCUCAAAAUUCAAUUUCCAAAUAACUUCCAAAUAUCAAAGAUCCAAAUGAACAUAACUAACAGUUAAACAAAAUCCAACAUAAAAUCCUAAGUCAAAUCCUAAUGAUGACCAUUCUUCAGCCUAGCCAUCACUCCUCACCCGAACUAAGAGUACCUGAAAAUUUUCAACAAUUGGGAAUGAGUUCACAGCCCAAUAAGGAAUAUUAAUGCAAUUCAUGGAUCAAAUAUUUUCAUUUCAAAUAGGAGAUAUCAAUUUUUUUUUUUCUCAUCAAAUAUCAGAGUUCCAAAAAUACCAAUAUAUUCAAAAUUCAACCAACCAAUUUCAUAUCAAAUUCAAACACUUUCACAUAAGAUUCAAUCAAAUUCAUUCAAGUUUCAUUACUCUGGUUAUCAAAUAUCAAAUGCCCAGUUAGGUGAGACUUUUCAAAUGGGUGGCUAGCUUCAAAUUGUUCCUGGUGGACGAAACCAAACACUACUAGUACUAGUAACCUCUAACCAAACCCCUAGAGGCUGGGGUCCAAAUCAAUUACAUUCCCACCAUGAAAUGUAAAGGUCAACUAUUAUAUCUCGUUGACAGGGCCGAAUAGUCAACUAUUAUAUCCCGUUGACAAGGGUCAAAUAAACCAGAGUGAUGUUUUUGUUCAAGUAUUCAAAUGUACACAACAUAAUAUCUCCAUAUUUUGUGUCAUAAAUAAAACAAAAUAUUCCAACAUAACAUUUAGUGCAAAACAAUUUGAUCCAUGCAUGGUAACAAAAUAUCAUUUUCUUUUCCACAAUUCAAAAUAACAUAUAAGAUAAUUUAAUUUUAUAAAUAUUACAUUAACUUCCCUUACCUCAAAAGAAGUCCUUGAAAGCUUGGGAGAAGAAUAAUUCUGAAAAAAAAAUAUAAUCUACUCUUCACCUAAUAUAACAUAAAAGAAACAAUUAUUACUAUUUAUUUAUAAUUUAACUAAUCUAUUCCUUAUUUAAAAAAAAACUAAUAAAUUCCCAAUUUGUUUCUAAUAACACAUUACUAAUUUAAUUAAAUUAUAACUUUAUUUCGCUAUAAAAUUAUAUAUAUAUAUAUAUAUAUAUAUUGCUAAAUCUCUUAUUCUAUUUAUUACAAAAAUACCAUUAUUACUAUUAUCUUAUUUAUAAAUCUAAAACUAAUUAUUAUUAUUUAAUUAACCAAUUCCAAACCACUCAACCUCGGGUACACCAAACCAAAAAGCAAGUUUUUAUUUUUAUUUUUUAUUUUUUUUCAUUGCCAAUCAUGAUCCAUUAAUAUAUAUAUAUAUAUAUAAAAGGGGCUUCCUGGUACACGCACCUUUUUUUUUUAAUAAAAUUAACCCUAACCUAAAAUCAAAACCUUCCAAGAAAUUUUUUUUUUUUUCUAAUAAAACUUAAGAUCUCCCAAAUUCCAAUACUAAAAUCAAAAUAUUAAAUUUUCACUAUUUGAUAUUAAAACGAAUUAAAAAAAUAAUCUAACCCUAAUCUAGAUUUUGGGUUUUCCAAAAAAAUAUAUCUAAUGUGUUUGAAAUUAAUCAAUGAAUCUAAAAUAUUAAACUAGGGGUUAGAAUUUUACCUAUAGAGAUCUGUUCUUCAACCCUGAAAUCUGACUCCAAUCUUACGUUCUCUGGAAUUCUACGAACAAGAACUAUAUUCAGAAAAGAAGGGAAAAAAAUAAAAUUUCUAAUUUAUACCUAGGGUAUUUAUUCGUAAAAUUACACUUUUACCCUUCUUCCACUUUAUUAAAUUAAUUAAUUAAUUAAUUUAAUUAUUAAUAACAAUUUCCUAAAUUACCCUUAAAAGAAAAUGCUUGGGCGUUACAGAAACGGUGUUGAUCAUCCAAACCAUGAUUUUACCAGCAUCAGUUAAGAUGAGAUUGCCAUUCCUCAACAAAGAAAGCUUGGAGCCUCUACCGUUGACCGGUUGGUCAUGGUUCGCCAUCCAAACUGUGGUUGCACCCCAUGAUUUUGUGAACCAUAUGGCGAAGCAGAAAGUGUUGUUGCCGACCUGAUAAAACCCAGCAGAGAAUAUACCAUUUGCUGAAAUGAGAACAUCAUUUGAUUUCUCCACGGAAAGAGACGAGCCUUCGCUCAGAGUAUCAUACGUUUCAGAUGAAGAUGGAUAGCAAGUUAACAGCAAAACCAAAACAAAGAAACCAACUGUCCUAUCCAUGAGUUUUGGGAUAUGGUUCAUGUGCUCUGUUUCCUGAUCAGAUAUUUGCAAUGGAGAAUGCAAGUGUAUGGUGCUACCAGAGUUUAGAAAAUCAAUUGACUCCUUGACUGGGGUGAAGGGGGAAAAUUCACAUUGCCCCUCGGGCCAAGUUUUGCUUGUGCCAUCGUGUUGGGUUUCUAAAAGCAUUUCAUGUCAACGUCAAAAUAUGGGAUGAAGACCCGCUAUUUUUAAUGGGAUCUAUUUUGAUUGGAUGACUUGGGCCAUUCAAAUUUUGUAGUUUCCACUUGGAACAACAAAAUUAUUAUGAGAUACGUCAUUUUGAAGAAAGAUUCUAGAAAUAAGAUGUUAAAUUGAUCUCUUUUCCAUGUAGCUGAACUCGUCAACUGUGAGUCUGAGCCAUAUGAUUUCUGUGCCAUACAGAAGCUUAUUGUUCCAAGUUGCCUGCUCAAAGGUUAACCUGUGAACAGUUUGGAUCUAAAUACAAUGAAUGUGAUGAAAUUUACUGAAACCGGGACUCUCUGACUGGCCUGUGGCCUUUAUGAGUUUUAUUUUAGAGGUGACGUCUGAUGUUGAUUGGCCCAAGCAGGGAAAGAUCAAAUGGGAAACGACGGUCACAACUUGUGGGGUGACUUUCCACUCACCAGGGAACACUUCAAAGAAAUUAUCCCUAAUUUUUAAACGCUUAAUUAUUGCGAUUCGAGGGGUAAAACAUUUUCUUUUAUUGAAUCAAGAUUGAAUUUAAAAUAAUAGUGUUGGUAUUACUCCCUCUCUUUUAUCCUUUUCUUAUUCUAUCUAAUAGUGGUUUUCUCGCCGCCUUUGUGGGCCAAGAUGAACUAAUGCUAAGAAUUUUAUUCAUCUGCUUUCUUUCAAGACUCACUUAUUGAAUAUAAUAUCUCAAUAAAUAUAGAACCAUAUUUUGAUUAUAUUGGUACAAUUAUUGAUACAACUGUUGGCUCCGCUCAAGUCAUUUUGGCGUGGACUUUUAGGGUAUGGUAGAGUGGAGCUUGUAUCACUACUAAUUAUUAAAAUGGUUAAAGGAUGUCUUUGUCAUUUUAGUGCACAUAUAAUUAUUAUUACAAUUGAGGGUCCUCCAAUAUCCCAUUUUUCCAAUUUUGACUUUUGAUCGGAAAAAAUUUAGUAUACAAGGAUAGGAAAAUAUGCUAAAUAAAAUAAUUUUCUCAUAUUUAGGUUUAUUAAAAAUUAUAAAAAAUAAUAUAAUAUAAUAUAAUUAAAAAGUUAUGUAUUUUUAAAUUAGAUAAUUUUUUUAUAAAACAAUUAAAAUAAGUUAAAUGAGUUUGAAAUUCCAUAUAAAAAUAAUUUAUUGAUUUAAAAUCUAUUUUUAUUUCCUUUAACUUUUUUUCAUAUAUUUUUUUUUUGAAUUUUUCAAAUACUUCAAACAGCUAUUUUUAAGUUUGUAUCUUUGUGAAACUCGUGUAAUCGUGACCCAUGAGAACCUUCAAGUCAUUUUGAUUAUAUUGGUACAAUUAUUGGUACAACUGUUGGCUCCGCUCAAGUCAUUUUGGCGUGGACUUUUAGGUUAUGGUUGAGUGGAGCUUGUAUCACUACUAAUUAUUAAUAUGGUUAAAGGAUGUCUUUGUCAUUUUAGUGCACAUAUAAUUAUUAUUACAAUUGAGGGUCCUCCAAUAUCCCAUAUUUCCAAUUUUGAUUUUUCAAGGUAUGAUCGGAAAAAAUUUAGUAUACAAGGAUAGGAAAAUAUGUUAAAUAAAAUAAUUUUCUUAUAUUUAGUUUUAUUAAAAAUUGUAAAAAAUAAUAUAAUAUAAUAUAAUUAAAAAGUUAUGUAUUUUUAAAUUAGGUAAUUUUUUUAUAAAACAAUUAAAAUAAGUUAAAUGAGUUUGAAAUUUUAUAGAAAAUUAAUUUAUUGAUUUAAAAUCUAUUUUUAUUUUCUUUAACUUUUUUUCAUAUAUAUUUUUUUUUUUGUAUUUUUCAAAUACUUCAAGUAGCACCCCAUUUCCUAUUUUCAAGUUUGUAUCUUCGUGAAACUCAUGUAAUCGUGACCCAUGAGAACCUUCAAGUCAUUUUGAUUAUAUUGGUACAAUUAUUGGUACAACUGUUGGCCCCGCUCAAGUCAUUUUGGCGCGGACUUUUAGGGUAUGGUUGAGUGGAGCUUGUAUAACUACUAAUUAUUAAUAUGGUUAAAGGGUGUCUUUGUCAUUUUAGUGCACAUAUAAUUAUUAUUACAAUUGAGGGUCCUCCAAUAUCCCAUUUUUCCAAUUUUGACUUUUCAAGGUCUGAUCGGAAAAAAUUUAGUAUACAGAGAAAAUAUGAUAAAUAAAAUAAUUUUUUCAUAUUUAGUUUUAUUAAAAAUUGUAAAAAAAUAUAUAUAUAAUUAAAAAGUUAUGUAUUUUUAAAUUAGGUAAUUUUUUUUUAUAAAACAAUUAAAAUAAGUUAUAUGAGUUUGAAACUCCAUAUAAAAAUAAUUUAUUAAUUUAAAAUUUAUUUUUAUUUCCUUUAACUUUUUUUCUUAUAUUUUCUUUCGUAUUUUCCAAAUAUUUCAAAUAGCACUCUAUUCCCAUUUUCAAGUUUGUAUCUUUGUGAAACUCAUUUAAUCGUGACCCAUGAGAACCUUCCCAUAACUACAAAGGAAGGUGGCAACAUAUCAUUGGGAGAGUGUCUUAAGAGCCAAAAUUUGACUAGCGGUUGAAAGGAAAAUGCACAAUUAUUGUAGUGGACAAAUACUUUUAACCUCAUUUGUGGAAGCUAGGUUGUUUUUACAAGGGAAACUUGUGUUCCAAGUUAGAUAUUUGAAAGUAAUAUUAUAUUCAAACCCCAAUUAGCUGGAAUAUGAGAUUUGACUAUUAAAAGAGAAAAUAUUAUUGUGUUUGUGCAUUCUAAGUUGGCUCUAUCUUCUAUGCCCAAAUUGCCCUUUUGUUUCUCUAGCUCAACAUCAUCCUAACCUCUUUGUCAACAGGACCACUAAAAUUAAGAAAAAACACUAAAUUUUGAAUUUUUAACUUCUAAAAAAAAAAACACCCGACCCGACCACUUAAUUUGAAUGUUUUCCUUUCUCAUUUGGAAGCUUUCUCUCAUCUUUCUUCAUUCAUGACAACCCAAAAUUUCUCCUAUUUCAAUUUAGAAACCCAAAUCUGAAACUCUAAAACGGUGUCAAAAUGCGUCUUUUGACGUGCCUCUGGCUCAGAUGCCUCAGCUAGGCGUUUGCCUUGAGCCCUAACCGUAGUUAACUCUCGUCUAGGAGCCACGAGAGUGCAAGAGAAUCCAAUAAAAAUGAAAUGGAGCUCGGGUGGAGAGUAGAUGCCCAAAAACUGAAACCUUAACCUCCAAAUGCGUCUUAGACUCGCAAAUUCAUAUCCAAGAUAGUUCUAUAAGACAGAAAUAGCACCAAACAUCUCUUUUAGACCACCGAAUCGACGAAGCCCUUGAAGAACCAAAGGAAACGGUGCAAAAAAUGAAGCGCGGGAAACUCUUAAAGUAUUGGGUCUUGACAAAAAGAAUAUUAAGAAAAAUAGGUUUUUAAUAUCUUAUUUUAGUAUAAAAAUAAAAAAAUAAGAUAUAAUUAAAAACUUGUAUAUUUUUAAAUUAUUUGAUAUUUAUAUAAAAAAUAAUAUAUUAACUUAAAUAAGUUUAAGAUAGCAUAUAAAAUAAUUUAUCAGCUUUAAAUUUUUUUUUUACUUUUACAUGAUACUUAAAAAGGAAUAUAAAUAGAGAAACAAUAUACUAAAUAAAAUAAUUUUAUCUAUAUAUAAAAAUAAUUUAUUAAUUUAAAAUCUAUUUUUAUUUCCUUUUAACCUUUCUUUCCUUUUUUUUUUUUUUUUUCCAUAUUUUCCAAAUACUUCACAUAGCACUCCACUCCCUAUUUUUUUUUUCUCUCUAAAUUUCAGAAACCAAACAUAAAAUACAAACACUGGUGUAAAGUUUGUAUCUUUGUGAAACUCAUGUAAUCUUGACCCAUAGGAACCUUCCCAUAUAAUUAAAGGAGAAUUACCCAAUAGGGUGGGCUUGGUAAAACAAUUACUAGAAAUGGUAGUCUCUUCUAAUAAUUCUUGGGGAGGAUUUUAAUAGGUUUAAUAUACCAAAACUGUCAUUUAACUAAAAUUUUUAAAAUUCAAAGUAUUUAAAGCACUUCACUUGAUUUGUCGAUACAAUUAUAGUACAUGAGUCUCAUAUUUAUUGUAAUUAUUAAUAUUCAAAUUUUAAAUCAAAAUUUUGGGUUUAACCUUUACAAUUAUAUAUAAUUUGUUAUUUAAAUUUACUAUUUAAAACAAAAAUACUUUUAAAAAGUAUUUUCAAAAUAUCAUUUAUUGUUUUUUUUACAUUUUUUAUUUUUAUUCUAAUUUUUAAUUUUAUUAAGAAAAAAAUAAGUUUUAUAAUUAUAUAAUAAAAAUGAUGAUUUUUUCAUAUAUAUAUAUGUAUAUAUUAUAAUUUUAAAUUGAUAAAUUAUGUUUUUGUUUUAAAUUCAAGGAAGAUAAAAUGUUUAAUUUUUCAUUCAGAUUCUUUAAAAAGAAUAAGAAAAUGAUAGAGAAUGUUUAAUAAUUUUUUAUUUUUAUAAUAAAAUAAUUUUAAAAAAUUUAUAUGAUUUUUUUUCCUUUGCAUAGUGUUUUUUUUUUUUUCAUAUAAAAUUUUUUUUCUCAGUACAUCGACUGGAUGAUGUUAAUAUAUUUGAUAUGUUGAAUAUUAAUAAGGUAUAAAAGGUGAUCAUCGAGAUUAUUACUUUUAUUAUAAAAUAUAGGUACAACAAAAAUAUGUUAUAAUUACCAUAUAAAUACACUUACAUUACAAUAAAACCUAAUUAGGAAAUUUUUGAAUUUUUUUAUAAAAAUGAUAAUUUGGUAAGAUCAUACCAUAUUUUAUAACAUACCUAUAUCAUAAAUAAUUUCUGAAACCAAAUGAAAUACUAAUUUGAAUUCACGAGACUUGUAGUUUAUAUAUAUAAAUGAUUAAAUAAUUUCAAAACACUAAAUAAAUGUUGUUAAUAUAUUGAUACGAUGCGUUAAUACCAACGGGGUAUGAAUAAACAUUUUUAAAAUUAUUCCUUUUGUAAUUAAAUAUAGAUAUGACAUAAAUACAUUAUACUUACAAUAUAAAUACGUGUUAUCAUUACAAUAUAUUACAAUAUAAUUUAAUUUAUUUUUAUUUAAUUUUUUCAAGUGUUAUAUUAUCCAAUGAAUAAUUGUGAGUUAUUCUAUUUAAUAGGUGUGUGUUAAUCAAUUGAAUAUUUACAUAUUAUUCAAUUGAUGAGUGCUCGUAAAAAAUAAUUAUUCAUUAUAUUAUGAUAACAAAGUUUUUAAUUAUAUGUUUUAUAUAUAAAACAAUAUAAUAAUUUUAGGAUAUGGUUUUUAUUUAUGAGAUAAUGAAAAUUAUAUUUUUUUAUAAGGUUCUUUAUAAAAUAUAGCAAAUUUUUAAAUAAUCAUUUGAUUGUUCAAAAGUUAAUAAUAAUUUUUUUAAGCUGAGAAAUAUAUUAUUGAUUACUUAUCAUCAUGCAUGAAUUCCACAACAAUCUCAAUUUAUUUAUAAAUAAUAUAAAAACAUAUUAUAGGUAAAAUUAUCUAUAACCGAGAGAGCCUUCAUAAUAAUUAGUUUUUUGGGCUACCCUGUUCGGUAAUUCUCCGUACAAUUAAUUUCCAGCAAAGGCAGGUGAGUGUUGAGGAGACAAAAUCUGACCCGCUGUUGAAGGGAAAAUGCACAAUUAUUGAAGUGGACGGAAACUUUUAACCUUAUCUGUGGAAGCUGGGUCGUUUUUCAAAACACGAGGCUGCAGCUUGGAACCUGGGGCAUUCUAGCUUUCAUCUUCCCAUGGGAAUUUCUACCCUCCGCACAAGUCAAGAGCAACUUUGUCUUUUCCAUAAAUAUUAGUAUUAUUUGUGUGUUCCUUACCUGAAUUUGAUUCAAGCUUAGCCCUACGGCCUUUUCAACUGAUCCAAUUUCAUAGAUCACAUGGAUGCGCCAGUUCUUUUGCUUCUUCUCACUCUGCUUCUAUCUUCUCCACUUCCAUCGUCCACCCUCGACAGUUUGAGUCAAGGCUCAUCCCUCUCAGUUGGGAAGCCUGAACAAGUUUUGAUUUCACAAAGUGGAAUCUUCUCAGCUGGCUUCUACCCCGUCGGUGAUAAUGCUUGUUGUCUUGCCAUAUGGUUCACCAAACCAUCCUACGACGGCAAACAUACCGCUGUUUGGAUGGCAAACCGAAACCAACCAGUUAAUGGGAAUUUCUCAAAGCUUUCCCUUCUAGAAAGUGGUGAUCUUAUCUUAACAGAUGCUGGGCGGUUCAUAGUUUGGACCAUAAAGAGGGUUGGGAUUUCUCCGGUGCAAUUACACCUCUUCAACACUGGUAACCUUGUGCUGCGUACCUCGGAUGGUGUUAUUCAAUGGCAAAGUUUCGAUUCACCAACAGAUACCCUUCUCCCUCACCAACCACUCACCAGAAAUACGAGACUCGUCUCUUCAAGAACCAAAACCAACUUUUUCUCAGGGUUUUAUAAGCUCUAUUUUGACAACAAUAACGUCCUCAGUCUUGUCUUCGAUGGGCGGGAUGCUUCAAGCAUUUACUGGCCCCCAUCGUGGCUUGUAAGCUGGCAGGCGGGAAGAUCGGCAUACAACAGCAGCAGAACUGCAUUACUAGAUUACUUUGGCUAUUUUUCUUCAACCGACGAUUUUAAGUUUCAGUCCUCGGAUUUUGGUGAGAGAGUCCAAAGAAGAUUGACCCUGGAUAUUGAUGGCAACUUACGAUUAUACAGUUUUGAGGAAGGGAGAAAUAAGUGGGUUGUUACUUGGCAAGCCAUCACGCUACAAUGCAACAUUCAUGGAAUAUGCGGACCCAACAGUAUUUGUACCUAUGUGCCUGGUUCUGGGAGUGGAAGGAGAUGCUCUUGCGUACCUGGAUAUGAGAUGAAAAAUCGCACUGACCGAACUUAUGGAUGCAUACCAAAAUUCAAUCUUUCUUGCGACUCACAGAAGGUUGGUUUCCUCCCACUCCCACACGUUGAGUUCUACGGCUAUGAUUAUGGCUAUUACCUCAAUUACACCUUACAGAUGUGUGAAAAACUGUGCUUGAAAAUAUGUGGCUGCAUAGGAUAUCAAUACAGCUAUAAUUCGGAUGUUUAUAAAUGUUGUCCUAAGCGGCUGUUUCUCAACGGAUGCCGCUCGCCUAGUUUUGGAGGACAUACAUAUCUAAAAUUGCCUAAAGCUAGUCUUCUUUCCUAUGAAAAACCAGUUGAGGAAUUCAUGUUAGAUUGCUCAGGCAACCGCUCAGAGCAGCUAGUAAGAUCUUAUGCAAAAGCCCGCGAAAAUGAAGUGUUAAAGUUCAUCCUCUGGUUUACGUGCGCAAUUGGAGCAGUUGAGAUGAUUUGCAUCAGUAUGGUGUGGUGUUUCUUGAUGAAGGCCCAGCAAAACACCAGUACAGAUCCGCCAGGCUACAUUUUAGCUGCCACGGGAUUCAGAAAAUUCACCUAUAUUGAGCUGAAGAAAGCAACACGGGGUUUCAGUGAGGAGAUUGGCAGAGGAGGGGGUGGGGUUGUAUAUAAAGGUGUCUUAUCAGACCACCGAGUGGCAGCCAUCAAGCAGCUCAGUGGAGCUAACCAAGGAGAAUCUGAAUUCUUGGCAGAAGUAAGUACCAUUGGGAGGCUUAACCACAUGAACUUGAUAGAGAUGUGGGGUUAUUGCUUUGAGGGGAAGCACAGGCUCUUGGUUUAUGAAUACAUGGAGCAUGGAUCACUAGCACAAAACCUCACUUCCAAUACACUUGAUUGGCAGAAGAGGUUCGAUAUUGCGGUGGGCACAGCAAAAGGUCUGGCUUAUUUACACGAAGAGUGCUUGGAGUGGGUUAUACACUGCGAUGUGAAGCCUCAAAACAUACUCCUAGACUCUAAUUAUCAGCCAAAGGUGGCAGACUUCGGCCUGUCAAAGUUACAGAACAGAGGAGGAAUCAACAAUUCGAGAUUGUCGAGGAUCAGAGGAACGAGAGGUUACAUGGCUCCAGAAUGGGUUUUGAACCUCCCCAUCACCUCCAAAGUAGACGUUUAUAGCUAUGGUAUUGUGGUUCUGGAGAUGAUUACCGGCCUAAGAAGUGUUGCAAAUGCCAUCCACGGUACAGAUGGCAUAGGGGAACGUCAGAGUUUGGUGGCAUGGGUGAAAGGGAAGAUGAAUAGUGCAACUGCAGUUGCUUCGUGGAUUGAAGAAAUCCUAGACCCGUCGAUGGAAAGCCAAUAUGACAUGGGUGAGAUGGAAAUUCUAGUAGCAGUGGCUCUGCAAUGUGUGGAAUUGGACAAGGAUGAAAGACCCACCAUGAGUCAGGUGGUCGAGACGCUUCUCCGCCCUGAACGUGGAAACAAUCAUCACUAUUAAUAAAUCAAUGCCUCGUAUGGGGCCCAAGUGAAGUGGCUUUCUAUACCUAUUCCGCCCAUUUAUGAUAUUUGUAAAAAAACAGAGUAAUUUUAUUCCCAAUAUCUCUCCUUGGUGCUCUUAUCUUAUUAAACUCCUUUUUUUUUUUUUGCAAUAUUAACUAUUAUAUUUUAUAAAAUCCUUUUUAAAAUUUGUUGAAUUUGAUCUAUUUUAUCCUCACAUAAUUUGUAGCAGGAGAAGUUUUUCUCCUCAUCAUAGAACAAAUUCUUAUAUAUGUAGUAUACAUAUAUGAAAGGUAUAAAUGGUUUUAGCUUUAGUUGAUAUCAUAUAAUUUCUCAUUGAAUCUAUUCUAAUGUGACUUUAAAAUUUUUCAAAAUAUAAAUCAAUUCCUCUUCCUUUGUGUGUUAGUGAAUGAAUUAGUUUAAAUGUCAUAGGUUUUGACUUUUUAGACAGCUAUUUAACCUAUUUUAAAUAGCUCUGCAUCACACCAUCACUUCAACCUUCCUUGACAUUUUUUUAUUUAUUUAUUUUAAUUACCUUUGGAUGGUAUCAUUGCUCGGAAAAAUUUGAUGAAUGUAAAAGGGAAAUGGAAAAUCGUGGGGCACACAUACAUUAUGGAGUCAAAAUCUUUGAAAGAUGUAAAAUUGUCGUGCAAUUCAAUCUAAUGUAGAUGGACAAAAAUGUCAUCUUAUUGAUCAAGCAUAGAUGGAAAAUCAAAUGAAUGAGCCACCCUGCAAAUGUUUAUUUUCAAGUAUUUCUUUUUUUUUUUCAACUUAAGACCUCUUUUUGGAAAUUUAUUAUUAAAAAUAUUUUAAUCUCUAAUUUUUUAUAAGUGUCUUUUCAUAAGCAUGUUGAUUAGAAAGAAACAAAAAUAUAUUUUUAAAUUAUUUAAUCUAACACAAGAAAGACAAGUAAAAUUUUAUAAAAAUAAUUUAUUAAUUUUAAAUUUAUAUUUUAUUUUCAUUCAUUUGACAUACCUUCAAUAAUUAGUAUAAAUUAAUAUAAAUGUUUUAUAUAAUUCGUUUACAUGCAUUGUAUAUUAUGUACAAACAGGAACAAAAUGAAUGAGCCACUGUAUGUGACAAAUAAAUACAUUUUUAUAAAAUCUAAAUUUAAUUUUAUAGUAUAUGACAUGGAUUCUGGCGUCAUCUUCCACAUCACUGAACUUCUUCUUUACCUAUUUCAUUGUUCUCUGCUUCCAACGCUUCCCACUAUGAACGUCUCUAGAAAAAACUGUCCGGUGUGGCUCUCCUCUUGGCUCUACCACAGUUGAGAUUUUCGGCUUGAUGCCUUCGCUCUAUCUCAGGUGGUCGGCUUUGGAGCAUGGAUGGCUGCAGAUCUGCCAAGUUGUUGGCCAUGAAUCUCCCGAAUCCACUUGCUGCUAACCGUUUGUAUUAUUCAAUUGUUGAAGGCCGAUUUGAGUUGAAAGGCCAAUGGGCCAUGGGAAGCAAUGGUUGCUUCACCCAAUUUUUUAAAAUUCGUUUUAAGUAAUACCAAAAUUUUUAUUGUAUGAAGUAUUGAUGUUAUUAUUAUCUUUUCAUAUUGAUUUUAUUUUUUAAUUUUUUUUUCUUAGGAUUUUUUUUCUUUUCACUUUUUCUCCCACCUUUCUUUUAUUUAUAUUUUCUCAUAAUCAAAUAUGGCCUUAAAUUUAAUCGCAAGCAAAGUGUUAUGUAGACAAUUAAUAUGUUCUUACUAUUUUGCUUUUAUGGCCAUUAAAUUUAAGGACUUCAGGUGAUGGCAAUAGGGUGAUUUUUUUUAGGUAAUAGUCCAACCUGCUUCUAAUAGGAUGAGUUUGAAAUUUAAAUAAAUGAGUUUGAAGUAAAUUUAAGUUUUUUUAAACUCAAAAUGAGUUUGGAUAUUGUCACAUCCCAAUUAUAUAUAAAAUUAAUUUAAUUUGAUUUUUUAUUUUUUUAUUUUUAAUAAUAAUAAUAAUAAAAAAAUACUUUUUUAAUAAAAUAAGUUAUAAAAAUUUAUAAUAAUCUAAUUAUAUAAAAUAUCUUUAUUUUAAUGUAAUUAAAUACUCUAAUAAGUUAUAAAAAUUUAUAAUACUCUAAUUAUAUAAAAUACAUUUUAAAUAAUUUUAAAUGAGGUAAGGUAGGACGAGUAUGAGAAUUUUUUUUACCUAUCCCACCCCGUCCUGUCAUGUUUAAUUUUUUUAAUGGUACAAGGUUGGAAUAUGUGCUUUCUAUUCUAAACCGGUCUCAUUAUCAUCCCUUCAUGUGUCUGCAUGAAUAUAAGAUAUUAGUGAAAAGUUUGAAGUAUGAUAUUAAAAAUUCAAUUCACCAUUUAUUUUGUAAUUAUACUUCUAAAUAUAAGCAUGAAAGGGCGAAUUGACAUAAUAGAAGGCCUAACUGCUCAUGUUUUUAUUUAUUUAAAUUAAUAUUUAUUAAUAAUUUAUUUAUGUAAUAAAAAAUUUGUAAUUCAAAAUUUGAUUUUACUAAGUGAAGUACCUGAUGUCCAGAACUGGAGGAACCUAAAGAAAGAGAAGAACAAAAAGUGACACCAAGACAUAUCCCAAAAGCCUAAUGGCCCAUCCCCCUACAAAUUCUAGCUUUAUAAUUAUUGUCCUAAAAGAAAAAGAUGAACAAGUGUUUUUUCGUCAUAUAAUGUUAAAAAAUUAAAGUAUCAAUUUUUUUUUUUUAAACUUUCUACCAAAAAUAAUUUAAUUUCAUAUUUCUAAUUGUUUUUUUUAAACCUUUUGUCACUUAUUAUUUAUUUUUUAAAUAUUUUUACUAAAUUUAAAAAGAAAAAAAUAUAUAUAUUUUAAAUAUUAAAAAUAAUCUAUUAAUUUUUCUUUACUUAAUAAAAAUAAUAUAUUUAAAAAAAUAAAUAACUUAAUAAUUAAUAUUAUUAAACACUAUUUAAUUUUAAAUUCAAUUUACAAUUAAGUUUAAAAAACACCACUUAAAUGUCAUUAUUGCAACGGACAACAACAUUAACUCUACUCUUUUAUAAAAUCUUUUAUUUUAGGAAAUUUUAAUUUCCAAAUGAAGUAGUUAAGAGAAAAAUAAACAUUGUGGUUGAACUUAAUCGAAAUAAAUAAACCAUAAAAAAACACUUGAAUGGAUUAAGGACCCUUUUUUUACGCCAAGGUGGUGGUGAUAUAUUGAUUUGAGUAAGAAUUUUAUAAUUUCCCAAAAGAAAGAUAAAGUGGAAAAGCAACAUUUAUUAAAAGAUAGAUACAUUAGAAUAUCAUAUCUAAAUUUAGUAUUUUUCUUUUCUCUUCUUUAUAAAACUAAAUAAUAGAAAUCAAAUACUUUUUCCAACUUCUCGUACUGAACCGUUUCGUUUUUCAUUUCAUCUAAUUUUACCUUCAAUUCAUUUCUUUCCUAUUUUAUUUCUUGAAACAUGUAUUGACUAAAACCUCUGUACCAAUGUUUCAGGACAUGAAGAGGUAGCCAUCCUGCUCCGCCCUCUCCUCCGGGCACAUAAGCUUCUCAACUACCUGGCUCAUCGUGGGUCUUGAGUCCCUGUCUUCCUCUACACAUUCCAAGGCAACUCCAAUCAGAAUUUCCAUCUGGCGCAUGUCGCAUUCGCCUUGCAUCACAGGGUCCAGGAUGUCUUCAAUCCACGACCCCCUGGCACCAAUCCCAUUCAUUCGAUCCCUCAUCCAUUUAAUCAACCC